RNAcentral lists this ribosomal RNA (456 nucleotides) under Hypophthalmichthys nobilis (bighead carp). Its description in RNAcentral is "partial 12S ribosomal RNA". It matches the Rfam family "Bacterial small subunit ribosomal RNA", at positions 752 to 1414 of the family's 1533-position model. Lineage: Eukaryota; Metazoa; Chordata; Actinopteri; Cypriniformes; Xenocyprididae. The record is from RNAcentral.
UUAAAAAGCUUCAAACUGGGAUUAGAUACCCCACUAUGCUCAGCCAUAAACCUAGACAUCCAACUACAAUUAGACGUCCGCCUGGGUACUACGAGCAUUAGCUUGAAACCCAAAGGACCUGACGGUGCCUUAGACCCCCCUAGAGGAGCCUGUUCUAGAACCGAUAACCCCCGUUAAACCUCACCACUUCUAGCCAUCCCAGCCUAUAUACCGCCGUCGUCAGCUUACCCUGUGAAGGCAAUAAAAGUAAGCAAAAUGGGCACAACCCAGAACGUCAGGUCGAGGUGUAGCGUACGAAGUGGGAAGAAAUGGGCUACAUUUUCUAUCACAGAACACUACGAACAUGCAACAUGAAAUAGUGCUUGAAGGAGGAUUUAGUAGUAAAAAGGAAGCAGAGUGUCCUUUUGAACUCGGCUCUGAGGCGCGUACACACCGCCCGUCACCCUCUGCAGUCAA